Molecule: ribosomal RNA, 721 nt
Filed under: uncultured archaeon
Lineage: Archaea
Description: bacterial SSU rRNA
Rfam family: Archaeal small subunit ribosomal RNA
Source: RNAcentral
UAGUCGAGGGUGCUUCUUCCUUCGGAAGAAGUAACCCGGCGGACGGCUCAGUAACACGUGGAUAACUUGCCCUUGGGUCCGGGAUAACCCCUGAGAAAUUGGGGACAAUACCGGAUAGGGCAUCGAUAGCUGGAAUGCGCGAUGUCCAAAAGCUGAGGCGCCCAAGGAUAGGUCUGCGGCCGAUUAGGUUGUUGUUGAUGUAAUGGAUCAACAAGCCUGCAAUCGGUACGGGUUGUGAGAGCAAGAGCCCGGAGAUGGGUUCUGAGAAAAGAACCCAGGUCCUACGGGACGCAUCAGGCGCGAAAACUUUACAACGUGCGAAAGCACGAUAAGGGAACUCUGAGUGCCUCCUAUGGAGGCUGUUCAGGUGUCUAAAAAGCACUUGAAGUAAGGGCUGGGUAAGACCGGUGCCAGCCGCCGCGGUAACACCGGCAGCCCAAGUGGUAGCCACGAUUAUUGGGUCUAAAGCGUCCGUAGCCGGCCAGGUAAGUUCUUUGGGAAAUUUAACCGCUCAACGGUUAAGCUUUCAGGGAAUACUGCUUGGCUCGGGACCGGGAGAGGUCAGAGGUACUUCAAGGGUAGGGGUGAAAUCCGUUAAUCCUUGAGGGACCACCAGUAGCGAAGGCGUCUGACCAGACCGGGUCCGACGGUGAGGGACGAAGGCUAGGGUCGCGAACCGGAUUAGAUACCCGGGUAGUCCUAGCUGUAAACGAUGCGGGCC